GCCUCUGUGGUGUAGUUGGUCUCAUCACGCGAGUCUCAUAUCUAUGAUAUGACUCCAGAGGUAACUCUUGGGAGCGAUCUCGAGGUCACCAGUUCGAUCCUGGUCGGAGGCA
Paecilomyces variotii is the source of this 112-nucleotide non-coding RNA. The record is from the annotation of a RefSeq genome assembly. NCBI's taxonomy places the organism in Eukaryota, Fungi, Ascomycota, Eurotiomycetes, Eurotiales, Thermoascaceae.